GACGAACGCUGGCGGCGUGCUUAACACAUGCAAGUCGAACGGAAAGGCCCUGCUUUUGUGGGGUGCUCGAGUGGCGAACGGGUGAGUAACACGUGAGUAACCUGCCCUUGACUUUGGGAUAACUUCAGGAAACUGGGGCUAAUACCGGAUAGGAGCUCCUGCUGCAUGGUGGGGGUUGGAAAGUUUCGGCGGUUGGGGAUGGACUCGCGGCUUAUCAGCUGGUUGGUGGGGUAGUGGCUUACCAAGGCUUUGACGGGUAGCCGGCCUGAGAGGGUGACCGGCCACCUUGGGACUGCGAUACGCCCCAGACUCCUACGGUACGCAGCAGUGGGGAAUAUUGCACAAUGGGCCGAAGCCUGAUGCAGCAACGCCGCGUGCGGGAUGACGGCCUUCGGGUUGUAAACCGCUUUCGCCUGUGACGAAGCGUGAGUGACGGUAAUGGGUAAAGAAGCACCGGCUAACUACGUG
This 468-nucleotide ribosomal RNA is filed under the name uncultured bacterium. RNAcentral describes it as "partial 16S ribosomal RNA". It matches the Rfam family "Bacterial small subunit ribosomal RNA", at positions 28 to 507 of the family's 1533-position model. The record is from RNAcentral.